RNAcentral lists this ribosomal RNA (2903 nucleotides) under Escherichia coli. Its description in RNAcentral is "bacterial LSU rRNA". It matches the Rfam family "Bacterial large subunit ribosomal RNA". The record is from RNAcentral. Lineage: Bacteria; Pseudomonadati; Pseudomonadota; Gammaproteobacteria; Enterobacterales; Enterobacteriaceae.
UUAAGCGACUAAGCGUACACGGUGGAUGCCCUGGCAGUCAGAGGCGAUGAAGGACGUGCUAAUCUGCGAUAAGCGUCGGUAAGGUUGAUAUGAACCGUUAUAACCGGCGAUUUCCGAAUGGGGAACCCAGUGUGAUUCGUCACACUAUCAUUAACUGAAUCCAUAGGUUAAUGAGGCGAACCGGGGGAACUGAAACAUCUAAGUACCCCGAGGAAAAGAAAUCAACCGAGAUUCCCCCAGUAGCGGCGAGCGAAACGGGGAGGAGCCCAGAGCCUGAAUCAGUGUGUGUGUUAGUGGAAGCGUCUGGAAAGGCGCGCGAUACAGGGUGACAGCCCCGUACACAAAAAUGCACAUGCUGUGAGCUCGAUGAGUAGGGCGGGACACGUGGUAUCCUGUCUGAAUAUGGGGGGACCAUCCUCCAAGGCUAAAUACUCCUGACUGACCGAUAGUGAACCAGUACCGUGAGGGAAAGGCGAAAAGAACCCCGGCGAGGGGAGUGAAAAAGAACCUGAAACCGUGUACGUACAAGCAGUGGGAGCACAGAGCAAUCUGUGUGACUGCGUACCUUUUGUAUAAUGGGUCAGCGACUUAUAUUCUGUAGCAAGGUUAACCGAAUAGGGGAGCCGAAGGGAAACCGAGUCUUAACUGGGCGUUAAGUUGCAGGGUAUAGACCCGAAACCCGGUGAUCUAGCCAUGGGCAGGUUGAAGGUUGGGUAACACUAACUGGAGGACCGAACCGACUAAUGUUGAAAAAUUAGCGGAUGACUUGUGGCUGGGGGUGAAAGGCCAAUCAAACCGGGAGAUAGCUGGUUCUCCCCGAAAGCUAUUUAGGUAGCGCCUCGUGAAUUCAUCUCCGGGGUAGAGCACUGUUUCGGCAAGGGGUCAUCCCGACUUACCAACCCGAUGCAAACUGCGAAUACCGGAGAAUGUUAUCACGGGAGACACACGGCGGGUGCUAACGUCCGUCGUGAAGAGGGAAACAACCCAGACCGCCAGCUAAGGUCCCAAAGUCAUGGUUAAGUGGGAAACGAUGUGGGAAGGCCCAGACAGCCAGGAUGUUGGCUUAGAAGCAGCCAUCAUUUAAAGAAAGCGUAAUAGCUCACUGGUCGAGUCGGCCUGCGCGGAAGAUGUAACGGGGCUAAACCAUGCACCGAAGCUGCGGCAGCGACACUGUGUGUUGUUGGGUAGGGGAGCGUUCUGUAAGCCUGUGAAGGUGUGCUGUGAGGCAUGCUGGAGGUAUCAGAAGUGCGAAUGCUGACAUAAGUAACGAUAAAGCGGGUGAAAAGCCCGCUCGCCGGAAGACCAAGGGUUCCUGUCCAACGUUAAUCGGGGCAGGGUGAGUCGACCCCUAAGGCGAGGCCGAAAGGCGUAGUCGAUGGGAAACAGGUUAAUAUUCCUGUACUUGGUGUUACUGCGAAGGGGGGACGGAGAAGGCUAUGUUGGCCGGGCGACGGUUGUCCCGGUUUAAGCGUGUAGGCUGGUUUUCCAGGCAAAUCCGGAAAAUCAAGGCUGAGGCGUGAUGACGAGGCACUACGGUGCUGAAGCAACAAAUGCCCUGCUUCCAGGAAAAGCCUCUAAGCAUCAGGUAACAUCAAAUCGUACCCCAAACCGACACAGGUGGUCAGGUAGAGAAUACCAAGGCGCUUGAGAGAACUCGGGUGAAGGAACUAGGCAAAAUGGUGCCGUAACUUCGGGAGAAGGCACGCUGAUAUGUAGGUGAAGUCCCUCGCGGAUGGAGCUGAAAUCAGUCGAAGAUACCAGCUGGCUGCAACUGUUUAUUAAAAACACAGCACUGUGCAAACACGAAAGUGGACGUAUACGGUGUGACGCCUGCCCGGUGCCGGAAGGUUAAUUGAUGGGGUCAGCGCAAGCGAAGCUCUUGAUCGAAGCCCCGGUAAACGGCGGCCGUAACUAUAACGGUCCUAAGGUAGCGAAAUUCCUUGUCGGGUAAGUUCCGACCUGCACGAAUGGCGUAAUGAUGGCCAGGCUGUCUCCACCCGAGACUCAGUGAAAUUGAACUCGCUGUGAAGAUGCAGUGUACCCGCGGCAAGACGGAAAGACCCCGUGAACCUUUACUAUAGCUUGACACUGAACAUUGAGCCUUGAUGUGUAGGAUAGGUGGGAGGCUUUGAAGUGUGGACGCCAGUCUGCAUGGAGCCGACCUUGAAAUACCACCCUUUAAUGUUUGAUGUUCUAACGUGGACCCGUGAUCCGGGUUGCGGACAGUGUCUGGUGGGUAGUUUGACUGGGGCGGUCUCCUCCUAAAGAGUAACGGAGGAGCACGAAGGUUGGCUAAUCCUGGUCGGACAUCAGGAGGUUAGUGCAAUGGCAUAAGCCAGCUUGACUGCGGAGCGUGACGGCGCGAGCAGGUGCGAAAGCAGGUCAUAGUGAUCCGGUGGUUCUGAAUGGAAGGGCCAUCGCUCAACGGAUAAAAGGUACUCCGGGGAUAACAGGCUGAUACCGCCCAAGAGUUCAUAUCGACGGCGGUGUUUGGCACCUCGAUGUCGGCUCAUCACAUCCUGGGGCUGAAGUAGGUCCCAAGGGUAUGGCUGUUCGCCAUUUAAAGUGGUACGCGAGCUGGGUUUUAGAACGUCGUGAGACAGUUCGGUCCCUAUCUGCCGUGGGCGCUGGAGAACUGAGGGGGGCUGCUCCUAGUACGAGAGGACCGGAGUGGACGCAUCACUGGUGUUCGGGUUGUCAUGCCAAUGGCACUGCCGGUAGCUAAAUGCGGAAGAGAUAAGUGCUGAAAGCAUCUAAGCACGAAACUUGCCCCGAGAUGAGUUCUCCCUGACCCUUUAAGGGUCCUGAAGGAACGUUGAAGACGACGACGUUGAUAGGCCGGGUGUGUAAGCGCAGCGAUGCGUUGAGCUAACCGGUACUAAUGAACCGUGAGGCUUAACCUU